Molecule: long non-coding RNA, 1098 nt
Organism: Sitodiplosis mosellana (orange wheat blossom midge)
Lineage: Eukaryota; Metazoa; Arthropoda; Insecta; Diptera; Cecidomyiidae
Exons: 3
Source: RefSeq, a predicted model, not a curated record
UGGUGUCGGUAUCUAGUGUUGAUUUGUAUAUCAAAUGUCGUUUCGAUAAUUCUUCCAAUUAGAAAUUUUCAAGUAAGUACUCAAUUAUCGGAUUUUUCUUCUAAAUACAAAGGAAAAAGAAAUUUCGUUAUAUCUUCAAUUGGUUUGAUUGUUACACUAUCCUUAAGUUUAUCUUAUCUCCAAAGAAUGAUUCCCGAAGCCUUUUAAUAACCAACAUUCAAUUUGAUCGAUUAGCGUCCAAGUUCUCAUCAUUACCAAAGAGAAUCAAAGGGUCCAAUUUGUUAUACGGUUGAAACCGAUGCCAAUUUAAAUAUAACCUACCAUAAAAACUCCGGUGAUCAUAUAGUAUUGGCUACGGCUGUCCUAUUGCUGCCAAUCGACAUCGAUUGGACGUUCGGAUAUUGUUCGGGCACAUCAGCCGGUGUCAAUUUGGUAUACGAUGGAUUCACAUUUAAUUUGGAUUUGAGACGAUCGCUAGUCGAUACAAAGUGGUAUUUUAGCAGUGUUCGAGUUCGUUACAAUUCAUCGCAUUCGAUAUUUGAGCAAACCCACCGUCAUAAUGAACUAAUUACAUUAAUACCCCAAGAUCCGGUCGUAUACUUGACGCCAAACCACGAAGAAUACAAUUGCAAUGGAUGCAUUAUAAACUUAUUCGAAAAGGAUCAUCAAUAUCCCCAUAAAGCUCUCUUGAAUUUGUACAAUUUUCGAUUUCUUCGUACUGCGGAAGAUCAUGGCCUUACGGAUUACUCGGCUAUUUGGGGACCAGUUUGCGCUAUUUUUUUCCUUUUGCUCAUUGCGAUUUGCCUAUUUUUCGUUCAUGACAGCAAAAUGAGCACAUUAGAGCUAUAGCUAACUGAACUCGGGAGCGACAAAAGGCCACAUUUUGAUACAUUUUCAAACUACACUUGAAUUUUUUUUUUCAUUCUUUAAAAAAAUCUAACGUUCACUGAAUCAUGGUGUGCUGGUGGUACUUUUUCAUCAAAGCAAAUGAUUUCAAUCGAUCCUUACCUCUUUUAAGCAAAUGAUAAUCAAAAUUAUGAAAAAAAAAAAGAUUUUAUAUCCGUUUUGAAUACGUAAAUUUAUGAAUUAUGACGUGCU